GUCUAAUCAGAAUUUGAGCUCACUGGGGGCAGGGAUUAAUCAUUGCGUAUCCAUCCUUCUACGUCUCCGGGUGCACGCGGAGCAGGGCGGUGGCGUAAACGCUUACCAGGCCCCGACCGACAGUGACUUCAGAAGUUAGAUACCAGGGGAGAAGGAGCAACGUAACCUGCGCUCCGCGCUGCUCAAGGCAUGCGACGUGGACAUGUUUGGUGACGGUCCACAGCUCGGCUUUCCCAGAGGAGCCCGUCCGGCUGGGCUGAGAUUCUCAGGCUCUCCUGAGGGUGAAAGAGCCUGGGAAAAGCCACGACAAGGAACAGGAAGGUCAUUGCCAGCUGUAAAAGGUCUAGGAUUUGGUUUCCAGAGAAAAGGGAGAGGAUAGAGGUUAACUGAGUUUUCAGACCUCAAAGUAACCAAGGGGACUUUCCUAAUUCUAGUAAAAGGCCACUAAUUGUGGUGAGUCAAGGAAGCGGUAAAGAAGCAGGGGAGAGGCAAGUGUUCAGCACCCCUUUUCAGGGGAAAAGUCCAAAAAUGAUUCUGCUUAAUCUUACCCAAUCCUUGUAGAAAACAACUAUGGUCACUCAAGGGAGCAAACAUGUCACAUUUGGACCCAGCAUCUUUCAGCAUUGGUGGAAGCCACCCUCCCCCGGACACAGGGCCAACCUCUCCCACCGCACUUCCCUCUUCCCACGGGGCAGGCCUAGGUCCAGCUCCCAGCCCCGUCCAGUCCAGUCCAGUCCAGGCUGCCCCUAUCCUGUUUAGUCCACUUUUCAGCCGAGGGAGCCACCUCAGGAGACAUCCCUAGCUGUUCGCCAGAUCCUUCCUAGGUCAAACUCCAUGUUUGUCAUUGCGUAUGUGGACAAGUCAAGCCAGAAAACCUGGGCUGUUUCUCCUUUACGCCCUGGACCCAGACUAAAACAUGGCCUCUCGAGUCUUGGCAGACGGGGCUUCAACACAAUCCCAGUAAGUGGAUCAACUCAAGGCAUGGAGCGACUGGAGCUCCUCUGCCACUUGUUGUUAAGAGAGUGUCACAAUCCGCAGCCAACGUUGCAGCAUCUCCCAGUUCCUGCCACGCAGGCCUCCCACGAAUGAAGAGAUGAAGCCACGUGGAGUUGCUGAAUUAGCUGUUAAUCCAGCUUGGACUGAAGACGGGGGAAGAGGAAAGGGUUAAAUUGGUCUCAAACUGUCUGGACAGAGCAGAGAUCUGGGCCAGGUGAAGGGACAAGAGAGGGUAGGUUGAAGAGUAGGUUGGAGCACGCUGGAGAAAAAUCACUCAAAAUUUGGCAAUGGGCAAAGAAUAAUAUCCGUCCUGGGGGAGGGAGGAGAAGGACCGCGACACGUAUGGUUUUUGACCCUGUGAGACAUUAAGCAGUUUAGAUUUUGACAUAGUGAUCUUAAGCUCACUUCUCUUUCUUAAAUUGCCUAUAAAAUAAAAAAAAUUUCCAAUUGUCA
RNAcentral lists this long non-coding RNA (1449 nucleotides) under Ursus maritimus (polar bear). RNAcentral describes it as "lncRNA (ENSUMAG00000005970.1)". Lineage: Eukaryota; Metazoa; Chordata; Mammalia; Carnivora; Ursidae. The record is from RNAcentral.